This 775-nucleotide ribosomal RNA is filed under the name uncultured Neocallimastigales. Its description in RNAcentral is "partial large subunit ribosomal RNA". It matches the Rfam family "Eukaryotic large subunit ribosomal RNA", at positions 20 to 618 of the family's 3401-position model. The record is from RNAcentral. Lineage: Eukaryota; Fungi; Neocallimastigomycota; Neocallimastigomycetes; Neocallimastigales.
UACUAGAGUAGCACUCGCAUAUCAAUAAGCGGAGGAAAAGAAACUAACAAGGAUUCCCCUAGUAACGGCGAGUGAAGCGGGAAGAGCUCAAAUUUGAAAUCUUAAAGGGUUUCCCUUUACGAAUUGUAGUUUAAAGAAGUGUUUUCUGUUGAGGUUUUGGUAAAAGUUCUUUGGAAUAGGACAUCAUAGAGGGUGAGAAUCCCGUAUUUGACCUUUACUUUCAACUUUGUGAUACACUUUCAAAGAGUCGGAUUGUUUGGGAAUGCAGUCCAAAAUGGGUGGUAAAUUUCAUCUAAAGCUAAAUAUUGGCGAGAGACCGAUAGCGAACAAGCACCGUGAGGGAAAGAUGAAAAGAACUUUGAAAAGAGAGUUAAACAGUACGUGAAAUUGUCAAAAGGGAAGCGUUUGACACCAGUGUUGUUUUUCUGAAAAUCAAUUAAAGAACUGUUUAUGCUAAGUUGUUUAGACUUUAUCAGCUAACUGUUUAGUUUUGAGCUUUUCUUUAAUGCACUUUUCAGUUAACAAGUCAACAUCAAUUUCUUUUGCUGUAAAAAAGCUUGAGGAAGGUGGCUUGAGAUUCGUCUUAAGUGUUUAUAGCCUCUUGCCUAUGCAGUCGGAGAGAUUGAGGUCUGCAGCGUAGAUCCCUUCGGGGCUAAAUGCAUUUGUGCUAAGUUAUAGCAUUUUAUAGACAACUUGUUGACUAUGAUUUGUCUUGUAGCUUACUCGCUUAUGUUAUUUUACCUACGCUUAGGAUGUUGAGCGCAUGUCUAUCUCU